RNAcentral lists this non-coding RNA (61 nucleotides) under Lankesteria abbotti. Lineage: Eukaryota; Apicomplexa; Conoidasida; Eugregarinorida; Lecudinidae. The record is from RNAcentral.
UUUUUUUUUUUUUUUUUUUUUUUUUUUUUUUUUUUUUUUUUGAACUCAAGAAUUUUAUGGA